Long non-coding RNA from Mauremys reevesii (Reeves's turtle), 453 nucleotides. RefSeq lists it as uncharacterized. The transcript has 4 exons. NCBI's taxonomy places the organism in Eukaryota, Metazoa, Chordata, Testudines, Geoemydidae. The record is from RefSeq and is a predicted model, not a curated record.
CCUUUGUGAGGCCAGUUCUCCUAAGCUCACUAGCGGGGAGUCCAGUUCACUAAUCACUGCAGGUCUAUUUACAAGUUUGGAGAGUUUUUAAAUUUCGAAGAACUCACAAAGUUUAUUUCAGCUUUGAGACUGACUCAACCUCCAAAGAGUCCCAUCUGAUGUUGUCUUCACUGAGGGAGAGCCAAUGGCCUGUUGCUUCUCAGAUUCAUAGCUUUUUAAGACAAAAAGAGACCAAUAUGACAGUCAACUCUAUCCUCCUGUGAGUAAGGCACAGUACUGUUUGUGAUGGUGACAUACUGGGCACAUGGAUGCUGGAAAUAGAUUUUGCCUGUGUUUCAAGUUGGAAAUAAAUCUCCUGGGUUCAUUUUGCUUUGUUCUGAUUUCUUAACUCUUGUAUUUCUGCAAGCAAUCUAGACACGACAGAAACAAAUUGAUGGAGACAGAAAUGGGAGA